AUUGAACGCUGGCGGCAGGCCUAACACAUGCAAGUCGAACGGUAACAGAAAGAAGCUUGCUUCUUUGCUGACGAGUGGCGGACGGGUGAGUAAUGUCUGGGAAACUGCCUGAUGGAGGGGGAUAACUACUGGAAACGGUAGCUAAUACCGCAUAACGUCGCAAGACCAAAGAGGGGGACCUUCGGGCCUCUUGCCAUCGGAUGUGCCCAGAUGGGAUUAGCUAGUAGGUGGGGUAACGGCUCACCUAGGCGACGAUCCCUAGCUGGUCUGAGAGGAUGACCAGCCACACUGGAACUGAGACACGGUCCAGACUCCUACGGGAGGCAGCAGUGGGGAAUAUUGCACAAUGGGCGCAGGCCUGAUGCAGCCAUGCCGCGUGUAUGAAGAAGGCCUUCGGGUUGUAAAGUACUUUCAGCGGGGAGGAAGGGAGUAAAGUUAAUACCUUUGCUCAUUGACGUUACCCGCAGAAGAAGCACCGGCUAACUCCGUG
RNAcentral lists this ribosomal RNA (490 nucleotides) under uncultured bacterium. RNAcentral's name for it is "partial 16S ribosomal RNA". It matches the Rfam family "Bacterial small subunit ribosomal RNA", at positions 30 to 507 of the family's 1533-position model. The record is from RNAcentral.